RNAcentral lists this ribosomal RNA (497 nucleotides) under uncultured bacterium. Its description in RNAcentral is "partial 16S ribosomal RNA". It matches the Rfam family "Bacterial small subunit ribosomal RNA", at positions 28 to 507 of the family's 1533-position model. The record is from RNAcentral.
GAUGAACGCUGGCGGCGUGCCUAAUACAUGCAAGUCGAGCGAACAGACGAGGAGCUUGCUCCUCUGACGUUAGCGGCGGACGGGUGAGUAACACGUGGAUAACCUACCUAUAAGACUGGGAUAACUUCGGGAAACCGGAGCUAAUACCGGAUAAUAUAUUGAACCGCAUGGUUCAAUAGUGAAAGACGGUUUUGCUGUCACUUAUAGAUGGAUCCGCGCCGCAUUAGCUAGUUGGUAAGGUAACGGCUUACCAAGGCAACGAUGCGUAGCCGACCUGAGAGGGUGAUCGGCCACACGGGAGCGGAGACACGGUCCAGACUCCUACGGGAGGCAGCAGUAGGGAAUCUUCCGCAAUGGGCGAAAGCUUGACGGAGCAACGCCGCGUGAGUGAUGAAGGUCUUCGGAUCGUAAAACUCUGUUAUUAGGGAAGAACAAAUGUGUAAGUAACUAUGCACGUCUUGACGGUACCUAAUCAGAAAGCCACGGCUAACUACGUG